RNAcentral lists this ribosomal RNA (253 nucleotides) under uncultured bacterium. RNAcentral describes it as "partial 16S ribosomal RNA". It matches the Rfam family "Bacterial small subunit ribosomal RNA", at positions 524 to 776 of the family's 1533-position model. The record is from RNAcentral.
UACAGGGGGGGCAAGCGUUGUUCGGAAUUACUGGGCGUAAAGGGUUCGUAGGUGGCCACUUAAGUCAGACGUGAAAUCCCUCAGCUUAACUGGGGAACUGCGUGUGAUACUGGAUGGCUUGGAUUUGGGAGAGGGAUGCGGAAUUCCAGGUGUAGCGGUGAAAUGCGUAGAUAUCUGGAGGAACACCGGUGGCGAAGGCGGCAUCCUGGACCAAUAUUGACGCUGAGGAGCGAAAGCCAGGGGAGCAAACGGG